AUUCCAGCUCCAAUAGCGUAUACUAAAGUUGUUGCAGUUAAAAAGCUCGUAGUUGGAUUUCUGGUCGAGGCAGCCGGUCGGCACCAAGUGUGUUUGUACCAGGCGCCUCGUCCAUUUUUGUAGAAGCUGUGUCUGUCAUUCAGUUGUCGGGCAUAGGGUCUGCAUCAUUUACUGUGAGCAAAAUAGAGUGUUCAAAGCAGGCUUAGGCCAUGAAUACAUUAGCAUGGAAUAAUAAGAUAAGACCUAGGUCUAUUUUGUUGGUUAGCAUUCCGAGGUAAUGUUUAAUAGGGAUAGUUGGGGGUAUUCGUAUUCAAUUGUCAGAGGUGAAAUUCUUGGAUUUAUUGAAGACGAACUACUGCGAAAGCAUUUACCAAGGAUGUUUUCAUUA
This 388-nucleotide ribosomal RNA is filed under the name Chrysophyceae sp. Its description in RNAcentral is "partial small subunit ribosomal RNA". It matches the Rfam family "Eukaryotic small subunit ribosomal RNA", at positions 582 to 975 of the family's 1831-position model. The record is from RNAcentral. Lineage: Eukaryota; Chrysophyceae.